AUGAACGCUAGCUACAGGCUUAACACAUGCAAGUCGAGGGGCAGCAUGAACUUAGCUUGCUAAGUUUGAUGGCGACCGGCGCACGGGUGAGUAACACGUAUCCAACCUGCCGAUGACUCGGGGAUAGCCUUUCGAAAGAAAGAUUAAUACCCGAUGGCAUAGUUCUUCCGCAUGGUAGAACUAUUAAAGAAUUUCGGUCAUCGAUGGGGAUGCGUUCCAUUAGGUUGUUGGCGGGGUAACGGCCCACCAAGCCUUCGAUGGAUAGGGGUUCUGAGAGGAAGGUCCCCCACAUUGGAACUGAGACACGGUCCAAACUCCUACGGGAGGCAGCAGUGAGGAAUAUUGGUCAAUGGACGAGAGUCUGAACCAGCCAAGUAGCGUGAAGGAUGACUGCCCUAUGGGUUGUAAACUUCUUUUAUACGGGAAUAAAGUGAGGCACGUGUGCCUUUUUGUAUGUACCGUAUGAAUAAGGAUCGGCUAACUCCGUG
This 488-nucleotide ribosomal RNA is filed under the name uncultured bacterium. RNAcentral's name for it is "partial 16S ribosomal RNA". It matches the Rfam family "Bacterial small subunit ribosomal RNA", at positions 29 to 507 of the family's 1533-position model. The record is from RNAcentral.